UCCUCCAAUUCAAAGGGAGUCAUCAUUUGGCACCUGCCAACUUUUGAUAUGACACCCAGCUCCCCUUUCCCCACCUGAACAGCCCUUCCAAAACUCUAGCCAUGCUCUAGAGCUAAUCAGGACACUGCAGAGAGAGAGAGAGAGAGGGAGAGAGGUGGCCAAAACAACAGUAGUCAUGGCAACCUCAGGGGAGAGCAGGUGCACCUCCCUUGUGUGCUCUUGUUAUGCACCAGUUAAGUAUCACAGUAGCAAGAGCAUCGAGGGAAGGGAUGGUACAAGGGGCAGUAAGGCUAUAAGUGGGAAGAGAGCUGGUCAUGCCAAUGGCAAAGGUGCAUCUCAUAAGCCAUGCAUACAACCUCACCCUGUCCCUCUGAAGAGCAACCUUAAGAAACCAAACAGGGUGGGAGAGCAGCAGCAGCAGCAGCAGCUGCAGGAGGAGGAGGUGGUGACGAUGAGGGAUGGAAGGAGGAAAGUGAGCUGGUCUGAUGCCCAUGGCGGAGACCUUGCCCAUGUUCAGGAGUUUUACUCAAGUGUGCUGGAGGAGGGGGAGUUUAAAGGAGUAGGAGGGUCUUGCGUUUGUGUCAUUCAGUGAAGAAGGUGGCCAGAAGAGAUUGGCCAUCAAAAGGAAGAGUGCAACACAUCUAAAACUGUCAAGUGACAAAGAAAAGCAUCAUUCCCUCGCCAACGGAAAUUCUGAAGAUAACAAGCUGCUGAUGGACAGGAUAAAAUAGAUGCUGCGGCGGUUCAUGGGAGGAUUUACUUCAAGUAGGCAAUGGCUUACAAAAGGCUAUGCUCCCCUAUGGAGCCUUCCUGACCAAAAACUGACCCUGGUUUGAUGGGAAAGAAAGUGUUGUUGUUGUACAGGUUGUUAUGCAAAUGUGUGAAGUAGUCCUGAAGGAUCCAACUGAUCAUGUCAUUCUAGCAUUAGCAUCCUGUUCAGCUGUGAGGAUCUUGUAUCCCAGAUAUCAUUGAUGGUUGUGCAGGAAAACUUGGAUGACAUUGUCAUAAAUUGCAGCAUUCCAAGGGUUUGUUAAA
This is an RNA transcript of Phoenix dactylifera (date palm), 1035 nucleotides long. RefSeq lists it as uncharacterized. Lineage: Eukaryota; Viridiplantae; Streptophyta; Magnoliopsida; Arecales; Arecaceae. The record is from RefSeq and is a predicted model, not a curated record.